This 27-nucleotide transfer RNA is filed under the name Potamotrygon boesemani. Its description in RNAcentral is "partial tRNA-Lys". Lineage: Eukaryota; Metazoa; Chordata; Chondrichthyes; Myliobatiformes; Potamotrygonidae. The record is from RNAcentral.
CUGGUGACCCCCCACCACCCUUAAUGA